This is a long non-coding RNA of Austrofundulus limnaeus, 341 nucleotides long. RefSeq lists it as uncharacterized. NCBI's taxonomy places the organism in Eukaryota, Metazoa, Chordata, Actinopteri, Cyprinodontiformes, Rivulidae. The transcript is spliced from 2 exons. The record is from RefSeq and is a predicted model, not a curated record.
CGAGCAGAGCCGAAAAGAACCGAGGUUAGCGGGUUCGCGUUGGUCCUCCGGGUCAAAAACCACACAUCUACUGAAAUGGGUCAAAGGAUCCACGUCUCAAGACCACAGCUGAGGCCUGGAACACAUGGACGGACCAAAGCUUUGCCUUCUGGCUCAAACAAGAGAAAAAAAGAAAGAAGCAAAGAAAAGAACUGAUUUAACUGUAAAAGAUGCGUGUUGUUUUAAAAAAAUCAAGUAUGAGUCACACAAAGCAAAGAAAAGCAUCUCAUUGGAUUAUAUAAUCUGCUUUAUAAUGCUUGAGAUCUGCAGCCUCAGUUUUUAUUAAAUAUUCAAUCUAUGAA